UGGGGAAUAUUGGGCAAUGGGGGAAACCCCGACCCAGCAACGCCGCGUGAAGGAUUGAAGGUCUUCGGAUUGUAAACUUUUGUCGCAGGGGACGAUAAUGACGGUACCCUGUGAGGAAGCCACGGCUAACUACGUGCCAGCAGCCGCGGUAAUACGUAGGUGGCAAGCGUUGUCCGGAUUUACUGGGUGUAAAGGGCGUGUAGGCGGGACUGUAGGUCAGGUGUGAAAACUUAAGGCUCAACCUUAAGACUGCAUUUGAAACCACAGUUCUUGAGUAUCGGAGAGGAAAGUGGAAUUCCUAGUGUAGCGGUGGAAUGCGUAGAUAUUAGGAGGAACACCAGUGGCGAAGGCGGCUUUCUGGACGAUAACUGACGCUGAGGCGCGAAAGCGUGGGGAGCAAACA
The sequence is a ribosomal RNA, 403 nucleotides long. It matches the Rfam family "Bacterial small subunit ribosomal RNA", at positions 355 to 774 of the family's 1533-position model.